This 253-nucleotide ribosomal RNA is filed under the name uncultured bacterium. RNAcentral's name for it is "partial 16S ribosomal RNA". It matches the Rfam family "Bacterial small subunit ribosomal RNA", at positions 524 to 776 of the family's 1533-position model. The record is from RNAcentral.
UACGUAGGGGGCUAGCGUUGUCCGGAAUCAUUGGGCGUAAAGAGCGUGUAGGCGGCCCGGUAAGUCCGCUGUAAAAGUCAAAGGCUCAACCUUUGAAUGUCAGUGGAUACUGCCGGGCUCGAGUCCGGAAGAGGCGAGUGGAAUUCCUGGUGUAGCGGUGAAAUGCGCAGAUAUCAGGAGGAACACCAAUGGCGAAGGCAGCUCGCUGGGACGUGACUGACGCUGAGACGCGAAAGCGUGGGGAGCAAACAGG